GGGCGAGUGAUGAAACGGCAGACAUUCGAGAUUUAGGGUCUCGUGCUCGCAAGAGCGUGAGGGUUCGAAUCCCUCCUCGCCCA
RNAcentral lists this transfer RNA (83 nucleotides) under Chloroflexota bacterium. Its description in RNAcentral is "tRNA-Leu". It matches the Rfam family "tRNA". Rfam says of the family: Transfer RNA (tRNA) molecules are approximately 80 nucleotides in length. Their secondary structure includes four short double-helical elements and three loops (D, anti-codon, and T loops). The record is from RNAcentral. Lineage: Bacteria; Bacillati; Chloroflexota.